RNAcentral lists this ribosomal RNA (340 nucleotides) under Kudoa miyakoensis. Its description in RNAcentral is "bacterial SSU rRNA". It matches the Rfam family "Eukaryotic small subunit ribosomal RNA", at positions 1473 to 1829 of the family's 1831-position model. Lineage: Eukaryota; Metazoa; Cnidaria; Myxozoa; Multivalvulida; Kudoidae. The record is from RNAcentral.
UUCGAUGUUCUGGGCUGCACGUGUGCUACAAUGAUAGUGACAACGAGUGCCUGCCCUGAGAGGGGUGGGAAAUCUUAAAAAUCGCUGUCUUGCUUUGGACUGAGCCUUGUAAUAAUUGCUCACGAAAGAGGAAUUCCUCGUAAGCGCGAGUCAUCAGCUCGUGUUGAAUAAGUCUCUGCCCUUUGUACACACCGCCCGUCGCUACUACCGACUGGAUGUUGCUUCGAAAAGUUUGGACUUGCGACGUCUUGACGUUGUGGGGAAAAGCGUUGAGAUGUAAUAUCUGGAGGAAGUAAAAGUCGUAACAAGGUUUCCGUAGGUGAACCUGCGGAAGGAUCAU